ACCCCAUGGAGCUUUACUGUAGCUUGACAUUGGGUCUUGGUACUACAUGUACAGGAUAGGUGGGAGGCUUUGAAACCAGGACGCCAGUUUUGGCGGAGCCAUCCUUGGGAUACCACCCUUGUAGUACUGGGACUCUAACCAUAGGCCAUGAAUCUGGUCUUGGGACACUGUCAGGUGGGCAGUUUGACUGGGGCGGUCGCCUCCCAAAAGGUAACGGAGGCGCUCAAAGGUUCUCUCAGUACGGUCGGAAAUCGUACGUAGAGUGUAAAGGCAAAAGAGAGCUUGAUUGCAAGACAUACAGGUCGAGCAAGGAUGAAAAUCGGACUUAGUGAUCCGGUGGUUCUGCGUGGAAGGGCCAUCGCUCAACGGAUAAAAGCUACCCUGGGGAUAACAGGCUUAUCUCCCCCAAGAGUCCACAUCGACGGGGAGGUUUGGCACCUCGAUGUCGGCUCAUCACAUCCUGGGGCUGUAGUAGGUCCCAAGGGUUGGGCUGUUCGCCCAUUAAAGUGGUACGCGAGCUGGGUUCAGAACGUCGUGAGACAGUUCGGUCCCUAUCCGUCGCAGGCGUAGGAAAUUUGAGAAGACCUGUCCUUAGUACGAGAGGACCGGGAUGGACG
This 617-nucleotide ribosomal RNA is filed under the name Clostridioides difficile. Its description in RNAcentral is "partial 23S ribosomal RNA". It matches the Rfam family "Bacterial large subunit ribosomal RNA", at positions 2088 to 2703 of the family's 2925-position model. Lineage: Bacteria; Bacillati; Bacillota; Clostridia; Peptostreptococcales; Peptostreptococcaceae. The record is from RNAcentral.